RNAcentral lists this ribosomal RNA (367 nucleotides) under uncultured bacterium. RNAcentral describes it as "bacterial SSU rRNA". It matches the Rfam family "Bacterial small subunit ribosomal RNA", at positions 527 to 896 of the family's 1533-position model. The record is from RNAcentral.
GUAGGUGGCGAGCGUUGUCCGGAUUUAUUGGGUUUAAAGGGUGCGUAGGCGGCCCUGUAAGUCAGCGGUGAAAUAUGGCAGCUCAACUGUCGAGGUGCCGUUGAUACUGCGGGGCUUGAGUGUUGAUGAGGCAGGCGGAAUUGACGGUGUAGCGGUGAAAUGCUUAGAUAUCGUCAAGAACACCGAUAGCGAAGGCAGCCUGCCAAGCAACAACUGACGCUGAGGCACGAAAGUGCGGGGAUCAAACAGGAUUAGAUACCCUGGUAGUCCGCACAGUAAACGAUGGUCACUCGAUGUCGGCGAUACACUGCCGGCGUCUUAGCGAAAGCGAUAAGUGACCCACCUGGGGAGUACGCCCGCAAGGGUG